RNAcentral lists this ribosomal RNA (252 nucleotides) under uncultured bacterium. RNAcentral describes it as "partial 16S ribosomal RNA". It matches the Rfam family "Bacterial small subunit ribosomal RNA", at positions 524 to 776 of the family's 1533-position model. The record is from RNAcentral.
UACGUAGGGUGCAAGCGUUAAUCGGAAUUACUGGGCGUAAAGCGUGCGCAGGCGGUUAUGCAAGACAGAUGUGAAAUCCCCGGGCUCAACCUGGGAACUGCAUUUGUGACUGCAUAGCUGGAGUGCGGCAGAGGGGAUGGAAUUCCGCGUGUAGCAGUGAAAUGCGUAGAUAUGCGGAGGAACACCGAUGGCGAAGGCAAUCCCCUGGACCUGUACUGACGCUCAUGCACGAAAGCGUGGGGAGCAAACAGG